CAGCAGCCGCGGUAAUACGGGGGGAGCAAGCGUUGUUCGGAUUUACUGGGCGUAAAGGGCGCGUAGGCGGCCAGCGCAAGUCAGUUGUGAAAUCUCCGAGCUUAACUCGGAAAGGUCAACUGAUACUGCGCGGCUAGAGUGCGGAAGGGGCAACUGGAAUUCUUGGUGUAGCGGUGAAAUGCGUAGAUAUCAAGAGGAACACCUGCGGCGAAGGCGGGUUGCUGGGCCGACACUGACGCUGAGGCGCGAAAGCUAGGGGAGCGAACGGGAUUAGAUACCCCGGUAGUCCUAGCCUUAAACGAUGAAUGCUUGGUGUCUGGGGUUAUAAAGUCCCCGGGUGCCGUCGCUAACGCUUUAAGCAUUCCGCCUGGGGAGUACGGUCGCAAGACUGAAACUCAAAGGAAUUGACGG
RNAcentral lists this ribosomal RNA (411 nucleotides) under uncultured bacterium. RNAcentral's name for it is "bacterial SSU rRNA". It matches the Rfam family "Bacterial small subunit ribosomal RNA", at positions 509 to 916 of the family's 1533-position model. The record is from RNAcentral.